Cercocebus atys (sooty mangabey) is the source of this 4083-nucleotide long non-coding RNA. RefSeq lists it as uncharacterized. NCBI's taxonomy places the organism in Eukaryota, Metazoa, Chordata, Mammalia, Primates, Cercopithecidae. The transcript is spliced from 3 exons. The record is from RefSeq and is a predicted model, not a curated record.
GUGUGUGUGUGUGUGUGUCUGCGUGUGUCUGUGAGAGAGAGAGAGAAAGAGAGAGAAGAGGAAAGUAGGGAAUGGCUAGCUGUGCACCUCUUCCCUUUCCACAGUUUUCCUAGCCAUCUAGAUAUCUUACAAAUUUUUGGCAGAAGAUAUGUUCCAAUUCACAUUCCACCCCUUCCAUUUCUCACCCAAAGAGUCAUUACGAGUCAAUGGUAAGCUAAAAUGAUGACUAAAAAAGAAAUGUAUUCUGUGUCUUAGAAAUAAAGGCACAAAAUAAAUUUUAUUCUGUUUUCAGCAAACUAUACUGGAAUUCUAACAUCUGUUAACUGUCUUUUAGGUUUUUAAAAAAUUCGAUUAGGAGUGGUGUUCUGGGAAUUAGAGAGAUUAUAUUGUAAUGGAGUUAGAAUUAUCUAGACAGACAAUUGAGGAAAGGGCAUUCCAGGUUGAAUUACAAAGGCAUGAAGGUGAAAGAGAGGGUGACGCCUUUGGAGAUUAUAGGUAGUUUCAUUUGGCUAAAACUCAAAGAUGGUAGGAGAUGAAAUUUGAGAGAUAAGCAGCAGCAAAUUGGUGAAGUACCACAUAUGCCAUGCUAAAAAAAAUUGGAUUUUAUCCUGAAGAUGAAUGGAAAGAUGAUGAAAACAUAUUAAAAAGGAUGAAAAGCCUGACUGCAGUGUGAAACAAGGAUGGUUUCCCGGGAGGAAAGGAGACUAAAGACAGAGAAUACCGGCUGUUGCUGUAGUCCAGAAGAGAAGAUAGGAAGGAAAACUGAAAAGACUUGAUGAUCAAUUAAGUGUUUAUGUUUAGCAUAGAGAUAGGAAACUUUAUUAACUUUCAAAGGCUUGGGUCUUUGGACGAUGGUGCUGUUAAUCAUCUAGAAAAAGAAUAUAAAAGGAAGAGCUGUUAUUCAUCUAGGAAAAAGAAUACAAAAGUUUUGGCUGGAGGAGUGGGAAAAUAGAAAUGAGUUAGUUGGUGAAUGUUGAGUUUAAGGAACCCUAAAUACAAUUGAGAAUGUUUAGUAGGCAAUUGAUUAAAUAGACCUGGAGCUUAGGAAAAAGCCUGGUCUAGAGAAUUAGUUCAUCAACCAAUCAACUCAAUAUCAAAUAAUCUCAACUAAAUAACUAAUAGAGUUAUUCAACUAAAUGAUAGCUGAAGUCAUGGUUGUACCACUAAGAACUUACUGUGGUCUUACUGUGUGCCAGGCAUUUCACACAUCUGAACUCGUUCACUCUCCUUCCAACCCUAUGAAGUAGGUACUAUUAUUAGUCCCAUUUUAUAAAUGGGGGGAACAUCAGAGAUGCCAGGUAACCUGCCCCAAAUCACACACACAGCCAGAAAAUGGCAAGAACCCUGGCAGUGUAUUUCUAGUGUCUUUGUUUCCCACCAUUAUGCUGUACUGCCCCUUAGAAUAGAUUAUAGAGUUCAUGAUAGGACUGAGAGCAGAAUCAUUUAAGGGUUGGGUUGAGAACUGGGAAGGAAACUGACAAGAGGUAGGCAAAGAAGUAGGGGAAAAAUUAGGAGAGUGUCAUCAUGGAAGUUAAAGGAAGAGUAUUUCAAGAGAAUGGAGGUGAGUGGAAGGCUGCUGAUGACAGCAGUGUUGGAAGAACCACACAUGCACACCCUGAUAUGAAGGUAGGCAGAGCAAAGUGAAAGUCAAUACAACCAGAAGCAGUUCCAGCCCUGACAGAGGUCAAAUCUCUGCUUGGUCUCUAUUUCACUGAAGCUGGAGCAAGUGGCAUGGACUUCAGGAAGGGAGAUGAGAGGUGUGUGUGCAAUGGACUGCACAUUUCCUUUGCAUAUUUAUAGUCUGCUAUGAGUCUUACUAAAUAAAGAUGAUGCCAUACACAGAUGGAGUUAAUUUGUUUGCAUGAUUUAAAUGUAUAGAAAUAUGUGAAUAUGAGGAGGAAAAUGGAAACUAGCCUUUAUUCCACUUUAAGAGCUAUCCGUCCUGUUUACCUCAGGUAGAUCUAAACCAGAGGUAUGGUGCCAAGGCAAAUCAACAUUCCAUGUAGAUGGAUCCUCUCUUUACUCUGUUUUACUCUUAUUUCCCUGUGUGUCUAAUUCUGUCUAAAUUUCCCUUAUUGUGUUGCUCAUUUUUUCUCCUUGUUUCUGAAUUCAUAGCUGCUCAAAAUAGUUGAUUCAUUUUUAUAUUCAGCAACACUGAGAUCCAUACAAUAUGCUUGGCGUUGUGCUUAUGAAUGCUGGCUGUAAGUGGCACACAGCAGCUCUUGGUAAUUAUCUAAUUGUCUCUGGAUCAUGUUCUGAGCCACUUAGGAAAGUUUUCCCCUAAGAAGCACAUUUCGACCCUGGCCUCCAAAUCCCUUGUGUUUUCAAACAUGUGUUUAUUACUAGCUGGACUUCCUAUCAUUUCUAGGAAGAAUUAUUAAACAUUAUCGAACUUAUAAUUGCUUGUCAUUCAUCCUGAUGUCCAUUACAUGGAGUUGUCCAUUUGAGAAGGAGUUGAAUUGCAAACCAAGGCCUGCAAUCACAGAGUCUGCCUUUGUGGCUUUUAAUUUGUGGCCCAAAUCUGAAACCACUCUUAGUUUUCCUGUACGUGGAGCCUUAAGGCCUUUUUGUUUUCUUUCCUGAUGGGCUGUUACUCAGACCUCUUAUGGAACCCACUUUAUGUAGCUUUGAAGACCACCCUGUUUCUUUGAGACGGCCUCAGGAGCCUCCCAAAGUAAACCUUUUAUGUGACAUAGAGCUUCUAUUUUAAGUAAAACCAUAAAAAUGUAAUGUACACAUUUCCAGAAAAUAAGUCCAGCUAUGUAUUUUUAUGUGAUGAUGAUGACGAUGGUGGUGAGGAUGAUGAUGAUAAUGAUGAUGUGUGUGUUUAUUUCUAAAGGUAUAUGUUGUCACUCUUAGGUGCAAUCAGGUUUGUUAGAAAUAGAAAAUCCUCACAAAUUAGUGAUAAGACCGAUUCAUGAAUAGAGAAACAUUUUAUACAGAAUUUAAGCAAUUACAUUCAAAGUACUGAAAUUAAAUUUGUAAAGGGAUCUAAUUAGUAUUUUUUUUAAAAAAGAAAAAACCUCCCAAAAUUGAAAAAUAAAGAAAAACACCAAAAACAGCCAAAUCCUUCCAAUCAGAUGAAGUCUCAAGAGAUGUCUCAGAUACAAAUAAUUUCAAAUAUCAGACAUCUUAAGCUUGUGAGAAAAAAAAAAGGAACGUGCGUUAGUUCUUCCUCUGAUGUCCACCUGGGAGCUCAUGCAUUCGCCCUAAUUUAGAAUCUGCUGCUCCUCUGUUCCAUGAUUGACCCCUUUCUCUCAUUUCCCUCAGGCUUGACUCCUUCUGGGCUCACCAAGGCUGGCAGUAUGGGGAGAAGCAGCAGCUGGUUUCAGCCUUCACAGCUCACAUCCUCCCAGGACAGAGGUCCUGAGUUAUUGCCCUAAUCUUCUCGAAGUUGUUUCACAGAGACAAGCAUCUGUGUUAGCAACAAGUCCAUCGUGGAUUCCUGCAGCCCUGCUGCAUGCACAUGAUCUUUGCUCCAGGAUCUGGGCUGAUGAGUCACUUCUCUGUAUCAUUGCUGACACGGUGGUAGAGGGAAAAAACCAAUGAAAUGUGAGUUGUCUCUACUCACAUUUCACUGCUGAGUUCCAAUCAUAUGGUCACAACCACCUGCCACAGAGUGGGAAUGUGUACUCCUCCUGCAGAGAUGGGUACCAUGUAUUUGUGAGCAAUGGUAACAGUUACCAAACAAUUCCCUCUGGACAAAAAUUACUUAAGUGGCAUAUAUUCGGUCUUAUCUCACUCAGGAACAACUGAAGAGUCAAGGAAUCAGCUCCUGAACAAUAUCUGCCAGUAAAGGGUUCUAAGGUGGGGUUUAGAUAGCAAGGUGGGCAGAGGAAAUGACUUCAGUGUUGCAGAGGAGAUGCACAUCCAGCCCUCCGUUCACACUGAACAAAGCUGACUUUCCCCAGUAACUUGUCAUUCAACCCUCGGGCUGAAAAGUGAAAACUCACCAUCUUUCCGUAAGUAGUUUGGUGCCUUACUGGGGAGUGAAUGUCCAGAUAUAAGAGCAUAAAAUAGAACAAGGCUGGGUGCGGUGGCUCAUACCUGUAAUCCCAGCACUUUGAAAGGCUGAGGUGGGAG